GCGUCGAUUCGUAGAUCGGCACGCCGCGCGCCGUCAACGCGCGCGCAAUGCCGCAUACGUAUUCGAACGGCAGGAUCGUGCCCGCAUCGGCGCUC
Molecule: transfer RNA, 95 nt
Filed under: Paraburkholderia terrae
Lineage: Bacteria; Pseudomonadati; Pseudomonadota; Betaproteobacteria; Burkholderiales; Burkholderiaceae
Description: tRNA-Asp
Source: RNAcentral